GCCUGGUGGGCUUAGUCAGUUAAGCAUCUGACUUCUGUUCAGGUCAUGAUCUCAGGGUUUGUGGGUUCAAGCCCUGUAUUGGGCU
RNAcentral lists this transfer RNA (85 nucleotides) under Felis catus (domestic cat). It matches the Rfam family "tRNA". From Rfam's summary of the family: Transfer RNA (tRNA) molecules are approximately 80 nucleotides in length. The record is from Rfam by way of RNAcentral. Lineage: Eukaryota; Metazoa; Chordata; Mammalia; Carnivora; Felidae. RNAcentral also lists the same sequence under 5 other names.